GUGCUCGCUUUGGCAGCACACAUAAUAAAAUUGGAAGGAUACAGAGAAGAUAAACAUGGCCCCUGGGCAAAGAUGACAUGCAAAUUCGUGAAGCAUUCCAUUAAAAA
This 107-nucleotide small nuclear RNA is filed under the name Erinaceus europaeus (western European hedgehog). Lineage: Eukaryota; Metazoa; Chordata; Mammalia; Eulipotyphla; Erinaceidae. The record is from RNAcentral.